RNAcentral lists this unclassified non-coding RNA (226 nucleotides) under uncultured Gaiellales bacterium. Its description in RNAcentral is "contains 16S-23S intergenic spacer region". Lineage: Bacteria; Bacillati; Actinomycetota; Thermoleophilia; Gaiellales. The record is from RNAcentral.
UCCGGUUUGGCACCGGCAUUCCAGUGCAUGUCAAGCCUUGGUAAGGUUCUUCGCGUUGCGUCGAAUUGAACCACAUGCUCCGCUGCUUGUGCGGGCCCCCGUCAAUUCCUUUGAGUUUUAGCCUUGCGGCCGUACUCCCCAGGCGGGGUGCUUAAUGCGUUAGCUUCGGCACGGACGGAGUUGACACCGCCCACACCUAGCACCCAUCGUUUACGGCGUGGACUAC